GAAUAUUUUAUUGAGCAUGGUCUCAAUUGAGGUUAUAUAUUUUAUUGAGCAUGGUCUCAAUUGAGGUUAUAUAUUUUAUUGAGCAUGGUCUCAUUAGAAGUUAAAUAUUUUAUUGAGCAUGGUCUCAUUAGAAGUUAUAUAUAUUAUUGAGCAAGGUCUCACAAGUUAUCAAGUUAUUGAGCAAGGUCUCAUAAGUUAAAGUUAUUGAGCAAGGUCUCACAAGUAGUUUAAUCAUUGAGCAAGGACUCAAUUGAUUGGAUCAUGGAUCCUUAAGAAAGUAAGAAAAAGGACUCAUGGAGUCAUUAAAGUAAUAAGAUGAGCAAGGUCUCAAAGAAUUUAGAAUUGAGUUAAUUAUGGUGUUUGUUGCAUUCACUUGUUAAAGAAAGAUAAGAAAUUGAUUUAUUUGCUAGAUGUAUUAUUGUGAUUGUGUCUCACAUAAUGGGCUUUGGCAAUAAAACUCUUGGGAUGGAUCCCCCAUGAGUAUUGAACAUAAGGGGGGAGUUAGUGUGAAACUAUACUCCUGCAUAUAGCUUAGCAUGACGAUGUUAAUGCUUUUAUUUUAUCAAGCAAGUUUAUGGAAUUCCAAUUAUCAAGAUCUUUGAGUGGACUAGGUGUCACUCGUAUUCUUUAUCUCUGAGAUGUUGAGUCUAGAGGCUCACUCUCACCCUCGUUCAUUACUAACAAGCUUAAAUUUCUCGAGUCAAGUUAUUUAAAGUUCAUGGAACUUUAGUAAGAGGUGUGGGAUCUCUUACACAAGAAAUAGUAGCCCGUAUGACUCCAAGAGGAGGACGGUGCCCGUUCAUUGCCAAAUAAUAAUAAAAGAAAGUAUUUAGUAAGUUCAGUUAUAUGCUUGUUGCAUGUAGAGUCAUAAGAAGAGCAAGCCGAAGUGAUUGAGGAUUGCAUGCAUUAUUAUUCGCAUUAGUUGUUGUGUUAUGUACUCAGCGUUGCUGAUGUAUGUGUUCUUGUUUUCUUUUGGUUGUUGUUUUUCCUCAACAACCCUGUGAUGAUCCAUUUGGUGAGCAGAGUUUAGAGAAGAAGUUGCAGGUACAAGUUCUUGAUGUGCAUGGAAAUCAUAAGCAUCCGGAUGGGAGUUUUCAGUGCACGAGUACUUUAUUAUUUAAGUUAUCUUAAAUUUUAUAUUUGACUAUACUUGACCAAUGGGGUCAAGGUUUGACUUUUGAAGAUGGGACUAGUAUGGGAUAGUCUCGGAGUUUGUAAUUCAUUUACAUACUUUCUUAUUUCUAUUGUAUUAAAGUAUUUUCAGUUUAUUUUAAAAGACUUCCGCUGUAUUAUCUGAUUA
Long non-coding RNA from Beta vulgaris subsp. vulgaris (sugar beet), 1300 nucleotides. RefSeq lists it as uncharacterized. NCBI's taxonomy places the organism in Eukaryota, Viridiplantae, Streptophyta, Magnoliopsida, Caryophyllales, Amaranthaceae. The record is from RefSeq and is a predicted model, not a curated record. The transcript is spliced from 2 exons.